RNAcentral lists this ribosomal RNA (511 nucleotides) under Bifidobacterium adolescentis. RNAcentral's name for it is "bacterial SSU rRNA". It matches the Rfam family "Bacterial small subunit ribosomal RNA", at positions 1030 to 1533 of the family's 1533-position model. Lineage: Bacteria; Bacillati; Actinomycetota; Actinomycetes; Bifidobacteriales; Bifidobacteriaceae. The record is from RNAcentral.
AGUGACAGGUGGUGCAUGGUUGUCGUCAGCUCGUGUCGUGAGAUGUUGGGUUAAGUCCCGCAACGAGCGCAACCCCUGUCGUUAGUUGCCAGCAUUCAGUUGGGGACUCUAACGAGACUGCCAGUGACAAACUGGAGGAAGGUGGGGAUGACGUCAAAUCAUCAUGCCCCUUAUGACCUGGGCUACACACGUGCUACAAUGGUUGGUACAAAGAGAAGCGAAGCGGUGACGUGGAGCAAACCUCAUAAAGCCAAUCUCAGUUCGGAUUGUAGGCUGCAACUCGCCUACAUGAAGUUGGAAUCGCUAGUAAUCGCGAAUCAGCAUGUCGCGGUGAAUACGUUCCCGGGUCUUGUACACACCGCCCGUCACACCACGAGAGUUUACAACACCCGAAGUCAGUGGCCUAACCGCAAGGAGGGAGCUGCCUAAGGUGGGGUAGAUGAUUGGGGUGAAGUCGUAACAAGGUAUCCCUACCGGAAGGUGGGGAUGGAUCACCUCCUUUCUAUGGAGA